RNAcentral lists this ribosomal RNA (871 nucleotides) under uncultured bacterium. RNAcentral's name for it is "bacterial SSU rRNA". It matches the Rfam family "Bacterial small subunit ribosomal RNA", at positions 1 to 914 of the family's 1533-position model. The record is from RNAcentral.
CCGCGGGAUUAGAGUUUGAUCCUGGCUCAGGAUAAACGCUGGCGGCGUGCCUUAGGCAUGCAAGUCGAACGAGAGUAGCAAUACUCUAGUGGCAGACGGGUGAGUAACGCGUAGGAAUCUACCCCUGGGUGGAGCAUAGCCGGCCGAAAGGUCGGGUAAUUCUCCAUAGUCUCGUAAGAGUAAAGGACUUAACGGUCCGCCGAGGGAGGAGCCUGCGUCCCAUCAGCUAGUUGGUAGGGUAAAAGCCUACCAAGGCAAUGACGGGUAGCUGGACUGAGAGGUCGAUCAGCCACAACUGCACUGAGACACGGGCAGUACACCUACGGGUGGCAGCAACCAGGAAUAUUGCGCAAUGGACGAAAGUCUGACGCAGCGACGCCGCGUGGAGGAUGAAGGCCCUCGGGUUGUAAACUCCUUUUGCCAAGCCGUUCACAGCUUGGCGAAUAAGCCCCUACUAACUACGUGCCAGAAGUCUCGGUAAUACGUAGGGGACAAGCGUUAUCCGGAUUUAUUGGGCGUAAAGUGUGCGUAGGCGUUCCAUAAAGUCCUCGCUUAAAGACCAAGGCUUACCCUUGGGAAUGGUAAGGAUACUCAUGGAAUGGAGGAUUGGUAAGGGUGCUGGAACAGUUAGUGUAGCAGUGAAAUGCGUUGAUAUUAACUGGAACACCAAGUGCGAAGGCAGGCACCUGUACUCUUCCUGACGCUGAGGCACGAAAGCUAGGGUAGCGAAACAGAUUAGAUACCUGUGUAGUCCUAGUCGUAAACGAUGUCCGCUAAGUGUCCCCGAUCUAAUCGGGGGUGCUUCAAGCUAACGCAUUAAGCGGACCGCCUGGGGAGUACGGCCGCAAGGCUAAAAACUCAAGGAAUUGAC